Molecule: non-coding RNA, 3091 nt
Organism: Aegilops tauschii subsp. strangulata
Lineage: Eukaryota; Viridiplantae; Streptophyta; Magnoliopsida; Poales; Poaceae
Source: RefSeq, a predicted model, not a curated record
UGGUUGAGCCUGCUGGAAAGCCCAUUGGCCCCCCAAUCCCCACAGCCGCACGCCGCACCUCUCCCUCCUCCGGUCCUCCCUCGUCUCAGCCGCCACCCCCACGAACCCUAGCCGCGCCCUCCUGCAUCUGUCCUCCUGCCCCUGGUCUGCCCCAAGCCCCUCCUCAUCUCCUUGUCGCACCCACCUCAUCACCAGCGACGGCCGCCCUGGACGCAUGAGCUAGCCGAGGAAAAGCGGGGUGGCGCGACGGCGUCGGCCGGCGGGGAGCCUGCGUACCGCGAGCCGCCCGACCUCCUUCCGUGGAUCUGCUCCUCCCAUUUCCUUUUCGUUGAUUUGCCUUUUUUGUUCGCGGCAAAUCUGCCAUGGUAAGGAGGGCCAAGUUCUGGACAGGGCGCCUCAACCUCGCCUUCCUCUUCCACCUGCUCGCUGAUAGAGAGACAGCGGCAGCGGUGGGAGGAGCCUGGGCGUAGAGGGGAGAAGUGACGAGGGGGUGCAGAGCCAGGAGAUGGGGGUUCCUGGAUGAGCACAGCGGCACAGGGCCUGGUCCCGCCGCUGCGAGAGCAGAGUGGAGGACCACACGGGGCCGCGAUGGGGUGGCAUCCGGCGAGACAAGCAGCUCCCAAGCAGGGAAUGCAGCGGUGCUGGCCUCUCCUCUCCCCGCGCCGCUGCUGUCCUGCGUCGUCACUGCCGCCACGGCCUUGCUCGCCAUUGACCUCCCCAAGUGCUUCUCUCCACAAAUGGUGCCGCCAUGUCCAGAUCAAUUUAAGCGUCGGGAAAACACAACACGUGCACGUAACUUGUUUGAGGAAAUUCCAUCUGGAAGCAAUAUUUGAUCAUGACUUGUGUUCUUGAUGCUUCAUCUGCGGCUAGCUGACUACAACAGCACAGAUGUAAAGGGAAACCAUCUUAAGAAACACAGAAUCCCUCUAAAACCAACCAGCUACAAAUAUGAAAUGGCAUUGCAUUGUUACAUCAGUGGUAAGUUCCUAUGCGUACUCUCUGUUUCUCGGGAAUUGGUUGAAAGUGUUUCUUCUGGCCUUUUUCGGAAGACAUUGCAUUGUUGAAGGAGUCCAUUGGGGACUGGAGUCGAUGGCCUACAACAUGGGCAGACACGUGUGCUUCAUGAUUGUUGUUGGUUAACUGAGAGUAUAUGAUGCUUUGAAGGAAUGAUGUGCAUAAUUCAGACUAAAUCUUGCUGGUGAUAGUGAGGAGUUUAUUUUGCUGUAGCACUUUGAUUCUUUCUCACUGUCAAAGUUUGUUCAGCUCUUCUCUCUCAUAUUUAUUUGUUUGUUUCAGUGUGCUAUGUGCAUCUUGCUGGUGACCCAUGGCCCCCUGUUGUGCUGUCCAUAGAAAGCCUGCACAGGCGGCGGGAGUGGCGGCCAAGAUGAUGGGCGCGGGAGCGGCGCACGUGUGAGCAAUGAUGAGUGUGUCUGCUGCCAACAUGCGAAGAAACUGAACAGGGAAGAGACCCAUGGCCCAGAGUAGUACAUGCAAAUGAAGGAUACCAGAAUUGCCCAUGGAGCAUGAGAUCCUCUUUGUCAGGGGCCACCUUACUUGUAUGGCCUCAGGCUGAGGAGACCCUUCUAAUUAAGGUGGUCACUACUUGCAUAUUUGAACCUAGAAUAGAAUGUCAUUUCGUGUUUGUCAGUAGGAUCUCAUGUUUAAUCUACAGAUCUUUUUAGUCAGUCUAUUUGCAGACCAGUUGCGAGUUAGUACCUGGGAAAAAUGAACAUUUUUCUACCUCAAAUUUGCAUAUCAGUAUCCUUGUCUAAUUUAAGAUUGCUUUUCUUACUAUGAAGAAGAUUUGUGCUGCUGUAGUGUUCUUCAGUUUCUGGUGUUUAGAUGCCAGUUCAUUGUUGAGACAGUUCUGCUAUGUCCGUCUUCUGAAAAAUACAGUAAGUAAAUUUUGUUUUCUGGACAUUGUCGCAGAUCCUAUUCGCCAAAGGAAAAAUAAAUAGAUAUAGAGGUAUAAAUUCAACAAAAAACAUUUUUUGAUUAAAAGGCUAUUCCAUUUGUCACCUACUGUACUUGCCCAUGACUAAAACAAUUAAUACAUGGUUUUCUUUUCAAAGCAUACAUGGAAUUAGUAGGCCUCUGCGCAAUUUGGUGCAACGGGUAUAAUGCUGCCAGGAGAUUAAGUAUAUUCAUGAAGUUGUGCAAAGUUAAAAAUUGGUUGCGCUAUCUCACAUUUGUCAAAUCCUCAUAUGUUGCUGGUAGCCAUGCUUAUGCCCAGAAUAUUAAGUAAGCUUGUGCUAUGCUGUGACUAAAUAAAGCAUUGUUCAGACUUAUCUUUUGUUUGCUCUACUAAGUGUUCAGGGUUUACCCAGAGGGCAAUUAUAUGUUCCCUACUGCCGUCUCCCGCGUGACGUCAAGAAAAUCCCUGAUGUUUCUGUUUUACUUGGCCUAAAUUUUGGUUUUCAAAUAGUUCUGCCUCUCAAUUUGAUAUUUCUACUUGCUUUUGCUUAGUAAUAUGAUGUACUGUUUUCUAGCUCUAGGCCUACUUGUGUUUAAGGUUCAGUUGAUUGUUUUUCUUAAGGGUGUUUUUUUUAAUUAGUGGCAUCAACAUGUGGCACUAAUUCCGUUGUGCAUUGUACUGUGAUUUUUUCAAACAACACCAUUAUGGUAAACAGAGAUGCUAAUGAGAAUAACAGAGAUGCUAAGAGGCAGCCUUUUGGGGUUAAGGAUAUAAACAACAACAUGGCUUAUGAGUCCGAAGAGAGCCCGAGUGGCGUCUUUUGGUUCUUGAAGCCCUGCACUUUCCUGGUGGAGUAGCAGCAAAAUAAUUCAGAGACUUUAAAGCUACUGCUUUUCAUGUAGUUAGGAUCAAUUUUUGGUCUCAGUUUGAAAUACUCUCCACUUCCUCCUAUUUGAUUGAUUUGUCUGAUGGACAUUUUGCCAGGCAAAUAAACAGAAGGCAUAUGUAUUAUUACGAGUGAAGCCAUCCAUACAAGUCAAGAUAUUAAUAAUCCCAUAUGUGGAAUUCGAGAUAUAGAGAAAUGUUAAUAUUCUUCUGCUAAUUGGUUGCUUGACCAAAUAUACUGUAAAUGACAUUAUUAUUGUUCAAGAUAUACAUAAAUGUUGUUGUUCUUCA